AGCAGCCGCGGUAAUUCCAGCUCCAAUAGCGUAUAUUAAAGUUGUUGCAGUUAAAAAGCUCGUAGUUGAAUUUCGGGGUUAGUAGGUUGGUCGUGCCUCUGGUAUGUACUCGCCUUACUGAUUCCUCCUUCUUGAAGAACUGUAAUGCCAUUAAUUUGGUGUUGCAGGGAAACAGGACUGUUACUUUGAAAAAUUAGAGUGUUUAAAGCAGGCCGAUGCCUGAAUACAUUAGCAUGGAAUAAUGAAAUAGGACGUUGAUCCUAUUUUGUUGGUUUCUAGGAUUGACGUAAUGAUUAAUAGGGAUAGUUGGGGGCAUUAGUAUUCAAUUGUCAGAGGUGAAAUUCUUGGAUUUAUUGAAGACUAACUACUGCGAAAGCAUUUGCCAAGGAUGUUUUCAUUAAUCAAGAACGAAAGUUAGGGGAUCGAAGACGAUUAGAUACCGUCGUAGUCUUAACCAUAAACUAUGCCGACUAGGGAUCGGAUGAUGUUAAUUUUAAUGACUCAUUCGGCGCCUUACGGG
This 520-nucleotide ribosomal RNA is filed under the name uncultured Glomus. RNAcentral describes it as "SSU rRNA". It matches the Rfam family "Eukaryotic small subunit ribosomal RNA", at positions 569 to 1094 of the family's 1831-position model. Lineage: Eukaryota; Fungi; Glomeromycota; Glomeromycetes; Glomerales; Glomeraceae. The record is from RNAcentral.